Molecule: transfer RNA, 83 nt
Filed under: Neolecta irregularis DAH-3
Lineage: Eukaryota; Fungi; Ascomycota; Neolectomycetes; Neolectales; Neolectaceae
Rfam family: tRNA
About the family: Transfer RNA (tRNA) molecules are approximately 80 nucleotides in length. Their secondary structure includes four short double-helical elements and three loops (D, anti-codon, and T loops).
Source: Rfam by way of RNAcentral
GCUCUAAUGGCGCAAUGGCUAGCGCGUGGGAUUGCAGUUUGUCAAUUAUCCCAAGGUUGCUUGUUCGAAUCAGGCUUAGAGCU